UGCAGUCGAACGAUGAUGCCCAGCUUGCUGGGUGGAUUAGUGGCGAACGGGUGAGUAACACGUGAGUAACCUGCCCCUGACUCUGGGAUAAGCGUUGGAAACGACGUCUAAUACUGGAUAUGAUCACUGGCCGCAUGGUCUGGUGGUGGAAAGAUUUUUUGGUUGGGGAUGGACUCGCGGCCUAUCAGCUUGUUGGUGAGGUAAUGGCUCACCAAGGCGACGACGGGUAGCCGGCCUGAGAGGGUGACCGGCCACACUGGGACUGAGACACGGCCCAGACUCCUACGGGAGGCAGCAGUGGGGAAUAUUGCACAAUGGGCGAAAGCCUGAUGCAGCAACGCCGCGUGAGGGAUGACGGCCUUCGGGUUGUAAACCUCUUUUAGUAGGGAAGAAGCGAAAGUGACGGUACCUGCAGAAAAAGCACCGGCUAACUACGUGCCAGCAGCCGCGGUAAUACGUAGGGUGCAAGCGUUGUCCGGAAUUAUUGGGCGUAAAGAGCUCGUAGGCGGUUUGUCGCGUCUGCUGUGAAAUCCCGAGGCUCAACCUCGGGCUUGCAGUGGGUACGGGCAGACUAGAGUGCGGUAGGGGAGAUUGGAAUUCCUGGUGUAGCGGUGGAAUGCGCAGAUAUC
RNAcentral lists this ribosomal RNA (629 nucleotides) under bacterium 03-L049658-122-015-C01. Its description in RNAcentral is "bacterial SSU rRNA". It matches the Rfam family "Bacterial small subunit ribosomal RNA", at positions 56 to 698 of the family's 1533-position model. The record is from RNAcentral.